Non-coding RNA from Acanthosepion pharaonis, 610 nucleotides. Lineage: Eukaryota; Metazoa; Mollusca; Cephalopoda; Sepiida; Sepiidae. The record is from the annotation of a GenBank genome assembly.
AUCUGGCUGAUACUGCCAGGAGUCAUAUCCUUGUCUCAAAUUUUAAUCCAUGCAUGUGUAAGUUCAGAUCACGCAUUAGAACGGACGCAACCCGAAUGGUUCAGGAGCAGGAGCUAAUCAUCGGAGGUGAUUAAUAACUGUGGCAAUUAUAGAGCUAACACAUUUGAAACAGGCUGCGAUUGGUCGGUGCUCUGUUGUCAGCGGCGUGCUAUCACGCGUGUGGGCACACGCGUCGACCGUUUCGUGUCGCGGUGCUACAUAGAUGACUGAGACCGAUGAGGGGCUUUCUGUCCUCUCACUGUCGCCGCCGUCGUUUCCUUACUUUGGUGUGCAGAGGCAGGGCCAACAGGCAGCACGCUCCAUUUUGCUGACUGGAUAACUCACUGGUCGAUGGCAAUGUUUUUAUACGUCUGGUGACGAGUCUCUCGAAGGUCUGAACUAUCAACUUUUGACGGCAAGUGCUAAUCGCGGUUACUACGGGUAAGGGGAAUCGGGGUUAAUUUCCGCAGAGGGAGCAUGAGAAACGGCGACUCCAUCCUAAGAGGGCAGCAGGCACGCAAUUUAGCCACUCCCGGCACGGGGAGAGAGACAAAAAUAACGAACCAUAGUC